CGCCGCCGCCUCACCACCCACCUCCCUGGAUACUCCAGCCCCUCCCACCUCCUACCGGUCCUCUAACGCUUAGGUGCCCCUGCCCCCCUCCUCCUGGUGACCACAGAGCUCCGCACGGACGAGGGACACGCAUGCCUGCCGGCCUUGAUGGUCGCCCUCUCUCCCGUGGCCAGCCGCGCUACGGCGAGGAGCUGAGGGCAGGCGGAGAGCGAGCGGAGGGUAGGGGAGAGAGAGCCAUGGGCAGGAUAGGCGGCGAAGGGCAAAUGAUCCUGUCACGAUAACGCAAAUCACGUCGGCAAUCACCCAAAAAAAACAUCAUCGCUACCACCACAGCGCCGUCGUCCUCGACCGCGCCCUCCAUGCUAGCGCGGCAUGGCUAUGUCGCCCCAGCGGUGGUGACCGCCACACCAGCGCGACACCCUCCGCAGCGCGUCCCGCAACGAUUCACAGCCAUGCGGCUCCGCCAUCCCCAGAUCGGAUCAGUUAUGGCUCGGUUCUUGAGGUUCCGAUGUACAAGCAUAUAGCAGAUCUUGUUGGUAAAAGCGCUACAACGCUUCCCGGCCCUGCAAUUACAGUCAUUAAUGGUGGAACCCACGCUGGAAAUAGUCUUCCCAUUCAAGCAUUUCCACUUUACAUGUACAACUAUCUUUUGGAGCAAAAGUUUUUGUUAACGGCUAAAAAACUACAUCCCCGUAACUUUUUAAGCUAGAGGUUGUUUACUCCCCUUGUUUCUUCCAAUUGAUUCUAUUUUUAAUAAGCACAAAUGAAGAUGGUCCAUCCAUGUAUAUCAAUAACUCAAGAUGCUUUAAUGUUUUUUUGUCGGACCUUCAAGUAAAGUUUCUUUCUGUAGGAAAUUAUGAUAUUUCAGUUGGUACGAAGAACUUUGAAGAAGGAAUGCAGGUGGGAUCAGAGACAUAUCAUUAUCUGAAGGUUCCCUCUAUUUCUAAGAAACUGCUUCACAUAUAUCUGUAGAUAAUAAUACCAUGCAUAGUUUCAUGGGUUUAUCCAUGUUUUCCAAUCUCAUAUUUGGACCAACCUGAUUCCGGAUGGAGCUCGGCUGCGGUGCAGCAAUGGCGCCAUGGAGGCAUGAAGGAUGAGUUGGUGCUUGCCUGCUUGAGAUGCCGCUGGUGGUAUUAGCUAUCCCACCCCCAUGAAGAGAACAAUAAUCGUCUCCAAUGGCCUCCUCUCUUGGGGGAUUCUGAAAUAGUUGCGAAUAUGGUGGUUGGACGAUUCUCGGGAGGGGCACCUGAAGAGCAGCCGGGAGGGAAAGGGAAGAAAUCUACCCGAACGCUCUCACUCACUCCCUUUAGCCAAGCGUGAUGUAUGGAUGGACAGACGAGGGCUACCGAAAGCACCUUCUCCCUGAGAUCAUGGUACCCGCCACUACUGCCAAACUAAUCGCCUGGAUGGAUGAGUUGUCGGUCGCAUGAAGUACCCAUCAGAAACAACAUCAUGCUGAGUGUUUGGCGAAGAACAUGAGGCAGGCUUUUAUUGGUGUUUCCUUAAACCUGUAAUAGGUUACAACCAUUAGAUACCGUGUGUAACUCCCUUUGCUGUCGCUGAAGAAUCCGCAUGUUCUGAUAUCUGAAUAUUUGAGGAAAAUUUAAUAUAAUUGUAUUUGGUGAUGCCUUGGAAGGAUGAGAGGACAUGCCUUCAAGUUUUUCAUCAAAUAGGAUGGUUUCAUCCAAGGAGCCACAUAUGAGCUACAUCGGAGGCUCCACAAUAUUGUGUUGAGGGGUUUCCUGUUCAAAGAUUUAGAUGGAUCCUAUCUUUCAUGAUUGAUCGGGAAUAGUGUUCCUGCUGUAAAGAAGCUUACGGGCAACUCCCAGUUUAAAAUUGAUCUGGAUGUUUCGUAUCCGCUGCCGUCAACAAACU
Non-coding RNA from Lolium perenne, 1875 nucleotides. The record is from RefSeq and is a predicted model, not a curated record. Lineage: Eukaryota; Viridiplantae; Streptophyta; Magnoliopsida; Poales; Poaceae.